GUCAACAUAGUUUAAAAAAAUAUCAGACUGUGAAUCUGAAGAUAGGGUAUAAACUCCCUUGUUCACC
RNAcentral lists this transfer RNA (67 nucleotides) under Neodon irene (Irene's mountain vole). Its description in RNAcentral is "tRNA-His". It matches the Rfam family "tRNA". Rfam says of the family: Transfer RNA (tRNA) molecules are approximately 80 nucleotides in length. Their secondary structure includes four short double-helical elements and three loops (D, anti-codon, and T loops). Further hydrogen bonds mediate the characteristic L-shaped molecular structure. tRNAs have two regions of fundamental functional importance: the anti-codon, which is responsible for specific mRNA codon recognition, and the 3' end, to which the tRNAs corresponding amino acid is attached (by aminoacyl-tRNA synthetases). tRNAs cope with the degeneracy of the genetic code in two manners: having more than one tRNA (with a specific anti-codon) for a particular amino acid; and 'wobble' base-pairing, i.e. permitting non-standard base-pairing at the 3rd anti-codon position. Lineage: Eukaryota; Metazoa; Chordata; Mammalia; Rodentia; Cricetidae. The record is from RNAcentral.